Molecule: transfer RNA, 68 nt
Filed under: Hippocampus bargibanti (pygmy seahorse)
Lineage: Eukaryota; Metazoa; Chordata; Actinopteri; Syngnathiformes; Syngnathidae
Description: tRNA-Ser
Source: RNAcentral
GAGAAAGGUCCGAAGACAACACAAACUGCUAAUUUCUGCCCCUUUGGUUAAACCCCUAAGCUUUCUCG